AAAGAUUAAGCCAUGCAUGUCUAAGUAUAAGCAAUCUAUACGGUGAAACUGCGAAUGGCUCAUUAAAUCAGUUAUCGUUUAUUUGAUAGUACCUUACUACUUGGAUAACCGUGGUAAUUCUAGAGCUAAUACAUGCUAAAAACCCCGACUUCGGAAGGGGUGUAUUUAUUAGAUAAAAAACCAACGCCCUUCGGGGCUUCUUGGUGAUUCAUGAUAACUUAACGGAUCGCAUGGCCUUGCGCCGGCGACGGUUCAUUCAAAUUUCUGCCCUAUCAACUUUCGAUGGUAAGGUAUUGGCUUACCAUGGUUU
RNAcentral lists this ribosomal RNA (310 nucleotides) under uncultured fungus. RNAcentral describes it as "SSU rRNA". It matches the Rfam family "Eukaryotic small subunit ribosomal RNA", at positions 39 to 352 of the family's 1831-position model. Lineage: Eukaryota; Fungi. The record is from RNAcentral.